CCCGCCCCAGCCCGCGGCCCGCCGCGGUGAAGCCAGGCCUGGCCAAACUGGGCGUAGCUCUCACCCCCUCCCACUGGUAUGUCCUCUCAGCCACGUCCGCGCACUCCGCUGCCGCCGAUUCCAGCCUCGGCCCAGCCACCUUUCUCACUCCCCGGGCCCCAUUCAACCACCGUCGACGCUCUUGCUCUCCUCGCACUGGUCUCUGCAAAGGCCUUCCACUGUCAGGCUGGUCCAUCCACCUAAGGGACGUACGGAUCAGACACCCCUCGUCACCUUGAAGACACCGGCCCAGGUUCCAUUCCGUGUCCCUUGCAGAAGCUGCAGGGAACUGGAGGGUAGUGUGGAGACACCUGCAGAGCUGCUGGACAGUCUCACUUCUACAGUCCUCUGUCCGCCUAGCCUCAAGGCCGAGGCUGCCUGCGUGGCCUCGUGUCUGGUUGCCUGCUCCUGGCGCCUGUGCUGCCAAGCAUCGACCCGGAACCGGAGCGUUUUUUGGUUUGGAGCUGUUCCCAGGAGGCCCCUAGAUGACGCGGCUUCUGUCCCAAGUACCGAGAGAAGAUUCCAGGCUAUGUGUUAGGAACUUCGUGCCUAUUAACGUCUGGAACGCGUCAGUUCCUGGAAUUAUUUAAGAGCUUUGCUGUGUCUGAGCAAGGUGCUCAUGAAGUAUCAAGGGCCACAUUCUACCAUGUGAACCUGAAGAAGGGUGUAAGUAAUGUAACCCUGAAAAAACAACCAACUGGCCACUGCUCAUUAAACUGCCAUUUGCUCCAAGAGAGACCAAGAUGGAAAGGGUCUCACCAGGAAGACUCUAAUACAGCAAGGAGGAAGGGCUGAGGAGAUGCUGGUCAGGCUUGUGGCCCAGGAUAAUACUGCAGCUGUGUGGCAGCUUGUCUCCGAGUGGAAGGAUUAUUACCACCGCCUUUUGACGGGAUGAAUCACCCAGGACGGCUUGAAUGGCUAAAGGGAAGUCGUUGUUAGACCUUCCAUUUCCAGAACAGGACUUCCCAGCAUGAUCUGAACAAGGGGAUUACCUUUGCUGUAAUCUUGGUUGAUGUCCUCAGGGUUGCUUCCUGGAAUUUGUGCAGACAAGGACAGCAAAGAGAAACCUAUGUCACAGGCUGGCCUUGCAGGGCUCAGAAUGGAUGGACCAUCAUGCAACCUUUUCACUCAAAAAACAAUCUCAAGAAAGACUCAAUAAUUGUGGUUGAGUCAAUGAACCCAUUUCUCAGCUUGAGACACUGGCUAUGAAACCUGACUUUCAACGUUUAGAUGUCAGAAUAGAGGGACCUGUGUUCUUCUCAGUGUUACAGUGCCUUCACAGUGUCAGACACAUCAGUGGUGAACACUCACCUUUGACAACAGCCUUGGAAAGAAACAUUGCCAGACAGACCUGUGUCUCCGAGUCUCCCGGCAUCUUCAGGAGUAGCCACAUUGUUGUUGGGAUCACAACUCCCCUUCAAAGGGCAGAGCCUGGAGUUGAAUUUGACAUGGCAGGAGAACAAGUGGAUACUUGAAUCCAACUGCAUUUGUAAGUGGUUUCCUUUGCUGUUAAACUUUCUUUCCAAACCAGCAAAAUACCUGACAUGUUUUAACGCAAACAACCUGAAAAUGCUUCAGUUUUCAAAGGUUUCACCUGUUGCUGUGAUGAACAGUUGGAUGAAACUCCUCUUCCCUUCUGUGAAGCUCAUGUACGACGCCCAUGGACAGCCUGGCUCUGGGGCGCACAGCCACCCUCACAAGUUCAAGUGACCACUUUCGAAAACUAAUGGCUAUUGACUCUGGUGGGGAUCUCUAUGAUGUUAUCAGGCCCAUAAAGACUGUGUGGUAUGCGUUUACAUUGUAUCUGGCGAGUGCCUAAUCAGUAUUGAUUUUCCUCAUGUGUAGCACCUAUGUCAAACAACCUAAUAUAUUUAAAUGGAGAUUAUUUCAGUUAUUUAUCUACCAUGUGAUAAGAUCAAAGGCAGUUAACUGUGGGGUAGAUGGGGAAGAUAGCGCAGUGUGCUUGGGCCUUCAGCUAUACCAUUGUACCACUUGACGAUGGCAAACAGCUAAAAAUUAACUUUGUGAGGCAUGCUGAGAUUUGGGGUCUAGGAAGAAUCAGGCAGAUGGAGGAGAGAGAUGCUGGCUUGGGGCUCUGUGAAUGCUUGGCAGAGGGGAGAAGGGCUUUUCAAAGGUCCUGGGAAAUCAUGACUGUGCUUAAUUCACUCCUGGUUUUUUGUUUAGAUAUUUCUGGAGAAAUCAGGAGCAAACUCAGGCUGAUGGAUGUGUGAUUUCCCGGAGGAUCUGUACCCGUUAAUCUUUCGAGUGAGUUCAGAGGGAUCUGCUCCUGAGAUGAGGGGCUUGGCAGGACCAUCUCAGGGGCUGUGUGCUUAUUGCAUUUUACUAAUGGAGCCCCGUUGAUGCCGUGGGAUAAUUGCGACUGAUCUUGCACACACAUCUGAAAGCAAUGGAAGCUGACUUUACUUUUGUUAGCUCCCUUCCCACAGAGAAAUUUCUCAAUAUUUCUCUUUUUCAAAAUACAUCCGAAUGACAGCUUUUGGAAUUCAUUACAGCAUAAGAUACAUACUUAUUGUUUCGAAGUGAUUAACAGCCCAAUUAAAACAACCCGAUGCAAGUUUCCCAAGAAUUAUAAAAGAAAAAAAAUGAAGUCAAAAACACUGAAUCCUAACAUGGGACUUGAACCUCCCAAGUUGAUGAGUUCAUCAGCAACAGACUCGCUGUUCUGACUCCUUCCAGCUCUCUACCCUUCCCAGUACUCCCUGGAAUGCUGACCUGGCUGCAGGGUGACUUUGCUGGUUCCCUUUGACCACUCACCUGCAAAGAUAAUCACAGAGAUCCCUGGGUCCCCUGGUUCCCCUGGUUCCCCUGGGUCCCCUGGGUCCCCUGGGUCCCCUGGUCAUUAAUUCAUAGUGCUGGGGUGCUUCUCAGUGGUAGAAUACUUUUCUACCACACAUCAGUCUAAAUCUUGUCACCCAGCCUUGCUGAACCAAACCUCUCUCACCACCUGCCUCCUUCCACCCUUGCUGCCCCUGGCGUUGCCCUUGCAGCCAAGCUUUCUGAUGGUGGUAGAGUGUGACUGUUACAGUGUGCUUCUGCACAGAGCCACUCGAUAUUAUCGAUCUGUCCUUUCUGUGGCUUCAGGAGCAAGCUGUACUGACAGAGCUCUAUGAGGAUCAGGAGAGUCUACCUGCUCUUCCCCCAGGGUGACAGGCAGAGGUCCCAUGCACAGUGCCUCUCAGGAGCCAUGUGCAGCAGAGGAGGAAGGCACAGGACAGAAGGCCCAGGGCCCCCUUUCCUCCCUUCCUCCAGAGUCCCCCUCCUCCUCCCUUUCUAGGCUUCUUUACUCUUCUGUCCUGCUGAUUCCUCUCUCCUCUCAACUCCUCUUUCAUCCUGAUACCUCCUCCCAUCUCCUUUGUCCUCCUCUGCCUUCUUCCUCUCUCAACUGUCCUCUUCCUCCUUCCUCCCCUGUCCUCCCCCUCCUUCCUCCAUCCUUCCCUGUCCUCCUACUUCCUCCCCCAUCCUCUACAUCCCUUCCUCCUUUUAUCCCCCACGUGUCACUCUCAGUUUUAUUUACUUCCAUGACUCCUCACUCCUGACUCCUCACUCUGACCUCAGUCCUAGACUCUGCCUCACCAUUCCCUUACUGGUGCCAUAGCUUCUACAUGCUAUACUCAGGUGAUUAAUUCACUGGACCCAGAGUGCAGAGAGGAGGUGACCAUUCAGACUCUGGCCAUGGCCCAAAUGCCCUGGCCAGCCUGUGGUCUGUGGUCUUUCUGUGUUUAGAGAGCUGGAGGUUGUAUAGAUGGUCCUGGGCAGAGCCAUCUGUUGGUGGUUCAUGCUAGGAAUCCUUUUGCAGCCACAGAACCAUACUUGGCCUAUACUGGUGACCCACAGUAGUCAGAUCCCUGCUCAGUGUGGAGGAUGAAGCCCUCCCUGUGGGAGGCAGGGAUCAUCUGCUCAGCUGGGAGGAGGCUGAGGAGCUGUCAAAUCUGAUGGUAUUUAAGGCCAGGUUUUUGUCCUCAGGGUUUAACUUCUUGCUUCCCCUCACUCAGAGAUGGGAAAUUUAUGCAGAUAUGUGUCAAUCAGAUUUCUUUUCUGAAGGCAGUUUCCAGUUUCAGGGAUGCUAGGGAGUGUGGCAGCAUCCUUACUGCUUCCAUAGUCACACUGUUUGUGGAAGUGGAGAGCAGGCCUGCUUGGGCAACCUAGCAAAGCUGGGGGGGGGGACACAGAGGCUCCGGGUGGAAGACAGCAUGGUGAGGUCCACCCAGAACCUUUAUAAAGGACAGCAGCAAAGCCUGCUGCCUCCAUGGGCCUUGCCCCCUGGAUCAGAUUCAUCUAUUAGAUGAAGAAGAAGAAGAAGAAGAAGAAGAAGAAGAAGAAGAAGAAGAAGAAGAAGCAGCCAGAAGGAGAACCAGAAGGAGACCCCUAUCAUCAGGGUCCCAAGUCAGACAUGACUUUAAGGUCAGGGUCUCAUCUACAGUUGGUUUGAAUCACAAUGGAUUAAUCUCGUGAAGCUUGGGGAACACAGCCCAGAUGUGCUUAUAGAAGAAACACUAAAGGACUUCUGGUAGAAUUGAAAUGUUAGGAGAACACACUCAGCAGAGGCAUCCUGGUUGCCGUCAGAGCAAGGAAUAAGGGGAAUCUCAUAAUCUUCCCCACACCUCUAGCUUCCAUUAACCAGAAGCAAGAAGCUGCUGAUUCUGAAGGCAGCAAGGUAAAGGAGAAUAAGAGUGGGCACAGGUGACUGCCACUUUGUGACUGUUCAUACCACUGUCUGGCAACUCAGAGAGCCAGGGCCCCAGCUUGGCUAAGAAAAAUCACAUCUACCUCUCCUGCAGAAAAUGACAUUUCAAUAAUCACAUGCUUGUGAUGCUUAAGUCAAGAUUUAUUAUUAUUGCUAAUAAUAAUAAAAAUGAAGAUUGCUUAUGUUCUCCCUCA
Molecule: non-coding RNA, 4938 nt
Organism: Cricetulus griseus (Chinese hamster)
Lineage: Eukaryota; Metazoa; Chordata; Mammalia; Rodentia; Cricetidae
Source: RefSeq, a predicted model, not a curated record